GAACAGUCCAAAUGUAGCACAAAAGUGGAAAAAUAUAAAAACUGCAUCAAAAGGAUUGAAAUAAGGCAUUGCAUUCGUUCAUGUUUUCAACAACCUUUUCCCCCCAAAAUUUCAUUUUUUCUUCUCUCUAUAAACUUAGACUUGGUUAACAGAAAAAGGGGGGAGAAAAUUCACAAAGAAUCACACACAAAAAACACUUAUUGUAACCUGUUACAAAACUCACCACUCACCAAUUUUGCCUGCAACUUUACUCCCUAUAUCUCAGUCACCAUUUCACAGAGAAAAAAAAGACAAAAAACCAUUCUUGAACUCUCACUAAAAAAAUUCACACGCACUAGAAAAAAUUAG
Non-coding RNA from Vicia faba (fava bean), 348 nucleotides. The record is from the annotation of a GenBank genome assembly. Lineage: Eukaryota; Viridiplantae; Streptophyta; Magnoliopsida; Fabales; Fabaceae.